UACAGAGGUCCCAAGCGUUGUUCGGAUUCACUGGGCGUAAAGGGUGCGUAGGUGGUCGGGUAAGUCUGGUGUGAAAUCUCCGAGCUCAACUCGGAAACUGCAUUGGAUACUAUCCGGCUAGAGGAUCGGAGGGGAGACUGGAAUACUUGGUGUAGCAGUGAAAUGCGUAGAUAUCAAGUGGAACACCAGUGGCGAAGGCGAGUCUCUGGACGAUUCCUGACGCUGAGGCACGAAAGCUAGGGGAGCAAACAGG
Molecule: ribosomal RNA, 253 nt
Filed under: uncultured bacterium
Lineage: Bacteria
Description: partial 16S ribosomal RNA
Rfam family: Bacterial small subunit ribosomal RNA
Source: RNAcentral